CAGCAGCCGCGGUAAUACGUAGGUGGCAAGCGUUGUCCGGAAUUAUUGGGCGUAAAGCGCGCGCAGGCGGUUUCUUAAGUCUGAUGUGAAAGCCCCCGGCUCAACCGGGGAGGGUCAUUGGAAACUGGGGAACUUGAGUGCAGAAGAGGAGAGUGGAAUUCCACGUGUAGCGGUGAAAUGCGUAGAGAUGUGGAGCAACACCAGUGGCGAAGGCGACUCUCUGGUCUGUAACUGACUGCUGAGGCGCGAAAGCGUGGGGAGCGAACAGGAUUAGAUACCCUGGUAGUCCACGCCCGUAAACGAUGAGUGGUAAGUGUUAGAGGGUUUCCGCCCUUUAGUGCUGCAGCAAACGCAUUAAGCACUCCGCCUGGGGAGUACGGUCGCAAGACUGAAACUCAAAGGAAUUGAGGGG
Molecule: ribosomal RNA, 412 nt
Filed under: Bacillus licheniformis
Lineage: Bacteria; Bacillati; Bacillota; Bacilli; Caryophanales; Bacillaceae
Description: bacterial SSU rRNA
Rfam family: Bacterial small subunit ribosomal RNA
Source: RNAcentral